AUACUAUUCCCUCCGUUCAAAAUUACUCGUCGUUGAAAUGGAUGUAUCUAAAACUAAAAUACAUCUAGAUACAUCCAUACGUGCGACAAGUAAUUCGGAACGGGGGGAGUACAAG
Non-coding RNA from Triticum aestivum (bread wheat), 115 nucleotides. The record is from Rfam. NCBI's taxonomy places the organism in Eukaryota, Viridiplantae, Streptophyta, Magnoliopsida, Poales, Poaceae.